Lyophyllum atratum is the source of this 95-nucleotide non-coding RNA. The record is from the annotation of a GenBank genome assembly. Lineage: Eukaryota; Fungi; Basidiomycota; Agaricomycetes; Agaricales; Lyophyllaceae.
UCCUUGUUAGUAUAUCGGUUCAGUACACGCGCCUGUCAUGGACGUUCGAAGAUGGGACUACGCGCGAGAGCUGGGUUCGACUCCCAGACAGGGAG